UACGUAGGGGGCGAGCGUUGUCCGGAAUCAUUGGGCGUAAAGAGCGUGUAGGCGGCUCGGUAAGUCCGCCGUGAAACCCUGGGGCUCAACCCCAGGCUAGCGGUGGAUACUGUCGGGCUAGAGGACGGUAGAGGCGAGUGGAAUUCCCGGUGUAGCGGUGAAAUGCGCAGAUAUCGGGAGGAACACCAGCGGCGAAGGCGGCUCGCUGGGCCGUACCUGACGCUGAGACGCGAAAGCUAGGGGAGCGAACAGG
RNAcentral lists this ribosomal RNA (253 nucleotides) under uncultured bacterium. Its description in RNAcentral is "partial 16S ribosomal RNA". It matches the Rfam family "Bacterial small subunit ribosomal RNA", at positions 524 to 776 of the family's 1533-position model. The record is from RNAcentral.